UGGCAGCCGUAGCGCGGUGGUCCCACCUGACCCCAUGCCGAACUCAGAAGUGAAACGCCGUAGCGCCGAUGGUAGUGUGGGGUCUCCCCAUGCGAGAGUAGGGAACUGCCA
Molecule: ribosomal RNA, 111 nt
Filed under: Escherichia coli
Lineage: Bacteria; Pseudomonadati; Pseudomonadota; Gammaproteobacteria; Enterobacterales; Enterobacteriaceae
Source: RNAcentral